Molecule: ribosomal RNA, 192 nt
Filed under: Triticum aestivum (bread wheat)
Lineage: Eukaryota; Viridiplantae; Streptophyta; Magnoliopsida; Poales; Poaceae
Description: partial small subunit ribosomal RNA
Source: RNAcentral
CAUGUACAGAAUGAAAACUUCAUUCUCGACUUAACAAGAAUUUUUAUAAAAAUGUUUCAUUUGCUUCUCUUCAUUGCAACUUUUAUUUUUUCAAAACUUAUCCUCAUUUUUGGCCUAAUUAUUCUUCUGAUGAUCGACUCAACCUCUGAUAAAAAAGAUAGACCAAUUGCAAUCAAUGAUAAGAAAAGAUAG